Molecule: ribosomal RNA, 400 nt
Filed under: uncultured bacterium
Lineage: Bacteria
Description: bacterial SSU rRNA
Rfam family: Bacterial small subunit ribosomal RNA
Source: RNAcentral
UGGGGAAUCUUGCGCAAUGGGCGGAAGCCUGACGCAGCAACGCCGCGUGGGGGAUGACGGCCUUCGGGUUGUAAACCUCUUUCGCGAUCGACGAAGGCCCACUUUCUGUGGGUUGACGGUAGGUCGAGAAGAAGCACCGGCCAACUACGUGCCAGCAGCCGCGGUAAUACGUAGGGUGCGAGCGUUGUCCGGAAUUAUUGGGCGUAAAGAGCUCGUAGGCGGUGUGUCGCGUCGGCCGUGAAAACCUGGGGCUUAACUCUGGGCGUGCGGUCGAUACGGGCAUCACUUGAGUUCGGCAGGGGAGACUGGAAUUCCUGGUGUAGCGGUGAAAUGCGCAGAUAUCAGGAGGAACACCGGUGGCGAAGGCGGGUCUCUGGGCCGAUACUGACGCUGAGGAGCG